ACUCAUCUGUGAGCUCUAAGCAUAGUGACUGGGAUACAGCAGAUAUUCAAUAAAUGUUUACCGAAGAAAUGAAUAAACUACAACACUGAGAGACCUACUCCAGCAAGUGGAAUGACCUUGGAAAGGAACAAAAACUUCCAUUUGGAACUCUGUUUUCCCACAGUGGAUUAUUUUGUGGAGGUAUCAAAUCUGGACUAGCUGUGCUACACAACAGUGAGUGAUCAUGGAGCUGUUUAUCCCACUAGCUUACCAGAUGAGAGCAGAAUGGUGCCAUUCAUCAAGACAAGCGACAAUUAAAGAAGACCAGGUUUAUUACAAUAAAUACCACUGAAUGCCUACCAUGGGCCAAGCACUGAGGAUUCUGAAAGAAAGAUAAGUAUGUAGAUAAGUCUCAUAUAAUAGGAUAAAAACCAUAACAAGGUUAAGCACAGAAAGAAAAGAUGCUCAUGCCAACAAUGGGGUAGAGUAGGGAAGAGAUGGAUGGAGAAGACUUUCAGGAUUUUGUAACUAUAUAAAAUUAUUUUAAUAAGAAAAGAAUUCUAAUCUGCCAAAUGAGGGAACUAUCUCUACUUCGAAGGAAUGCUACCCGAAAAGUGGGUGGGGCUACAGUUGCUGCCUAUUUUUUUAAACUUUGCAUUUAAAAUAAUUUUACUUUUAAAUUGUUAUUUACCAUUUUUUUAAAUUUAAAAUUUAUUAUUUUUCUUUUUUCUUUUUUUGUUUUAAAAAGACAGGGUCUCAGUGUGUUGCCCAGGCUGAAGUGCAAGUGGCAUGAUCACAGCUCAUCGUAGCUGUGAACUCUUGGGCUUGAGUGAUUCUCCUGUUUCAGUCUCUCAAGUAGCUGGCACUACAGGUGCAUGCCACCAUUUCUCAGCCAAUUUUUCCUUUUUUUGCAGAGAUGACGACUCAUUAUGUUGUCCGGGAUAGUCUUGAAUUCCUGGCCUCAAGUGAUCCUCCUGAGUGCCUCAGCCUUCCGAAGUGUUGGGAUUACUAGUGUGAACCAUUGCACCUGGCCUGGCAUAAUUUUAGAUAUACAGAAAAGUUGCAAAUAUAGUACAAAGAAUUCCUAUAUACCGUCCAUUUAGUUUUCCCUAAGGUUAACAUCCUAUAUAACCAUGGCAUAUUUGUCAAAAAUCAAAAUAUUUCCAGUUGGGGAAAUAGGAAGAAGCACUCAGGUGGAGUUUUGUGUCCCUUUCACUGUUGCUUUCGUUCUCUAAGCCUGCAGUAUGAAGGAUGCCUUCUCAGGACUUUUUUUUUUUUUUUGCAGUAGGGAAGGGUAGGAGAAACUGCCUGGUGGGACUGUGAUAAAAGAGCCUGCAAGAGGGUAUAAAAUCUCCAUAUAUCUAAGGCCAUCUGGGGCUUCACUUUCUCUUGCCAGCCCACACUCAGCCUCUACCAACUUAUUAACUAUCUAGCCCAGUUAUUCUUAUGGCAUUCAUGAGUCAACCUUAUGUAAGCAAGUGCUCAUGUUCCUUUUUUCCUACCAAGCAUCUAUCUCUGCUUACAUUUCUGGCUAUUUGGUUGUCUUUCCACUUCAGUUCUCUGGCAGAUUCAAGAAAAAUCAUAAGCUUGCAGUUUUCCCAGCUUUAUUGUUGUUUCAGAGGUGAAAGUGAUGCUCUUUCCAGCUUUCUAGGCUCCAAAUGGAAACUGGAAGUCCUAUGUUGUUUUUAAUCCUAGAAUUUGGGUCUAAAAAGUUCUCAAGGGCAAUCUAGUUCAUUCUUUAUUUUACAAGUGAGAAUACUAAAGCUCUAAAAGAAAUAACUGACUUUUGAAUACUUAGUGAUGGAGUCAGGGCAAUUCUACUUAUUACAAAGUGACUCAGUGUGUGUGUGUGUAUAUAUAUAUAUAUCUCAUAUAUCACACUACUUAUAGAUAUAGAGUAGAUAUAUAUUUACUUAUUUACACAGUGACUCAGUAUUUGGGGUGACAUAUAGGAAAUCCCAGACAUUAAAAAAGUAGAGAUAAAAUAAAAUGAGACACAAGGACCAGUUAUAAUAUAAAGUUGAAUCAGAGUGGGAGGAAUACAAGGAUAAAAAUUCAUGAAAGCAGAUUAUAAAUGUUACAUGCAAUUGUACAGUUGAACCAUAAAUUGGUGGCAAAUUUCCAGAUGGCCAAAGUGAAAAGGGAAAGAUUAUUUUAUAGUUUAUCAAUUAGGGGAAUACACACACACACACAGACACACACACACACACACACACACAUCUCAAGUCAACAGAAGCAUUUCCUAGUGCUAAAUUAAGAAGUUUCUCUUAUGUGGCUUCAUACAGGGACAACUAAGAAAUAUAAUGAGGCAAUACUUUCAAUGACAACCCUGUAGCAAAAGUAUUGUCUAAGUUUAUACAAAUGCUGGAGUUAGACCCUGGAUGGAAGUGUUCAGUCUUCAAAUCUAAAUCUAUUUACCCCACCAUGCAGUCUAUACUACAGCAAUUCCCUAGAAUGAUGUCUAUUAUGCAAACUGCUAAUGAGCACUGGUGACUCAGUUACUAUCAAAAUAGGCAUGUCUGGAGUUACAAAACUUUCAAAUUGUAAGAGACCUCAUCAACUUGUCCCAUCAUCUCAUUUUGGAAAUGAAACAGAACACAAUAAAUACUUUCAUGUGGAAAAAUAUAUAUUAAGUAUAGGCAAGUUAAAUUCCUAUCUAGUUUAAAAAGAAGUCUUAAAACCCAGCCAAUAUAAGAUAUUCUCUCUUUAGGAUGAUACUGAUGUCAAAAAUAGAACUUUAUAAAUAUUUUAAAAUAAUUCUCAGGAAUCAGAAGCAGAAUAAAAGGUAAACAAAAGCCAGCCACAAGUCUUCCUGCACUACUGACAAUUUACUGGAGUGAAAAAGGUCAAGAUCUAGACAAAAACUGAGAGAAACCAUGAAGAAAAAGAAAAUGAAGAGUUACUCAAGGGAUAAGAUUUCCUACAACCACUCAAACGAUACAGCUUCACAGUUCCAAGUUUCAAGUCUAUGAUGAAUUUUUAUUUAAUUGUGUACAUCAAGCGGAAAAUUAAUUUCUAAAUCUCUAAUUGGCCACCAAAGGCAGAGUGAGCUAGAAAAGACCUAAGCUAGGAAGUAAUACAUAUCUACAUAUACCAAAAACAUUUAAAGAGGCUCCAGUUCAUAAGACUAUAAUUAGAAAUAAGAGAUUCUCCUAAGACAAUAAUCUGAGUCUUGCUUUUAAAGAGUCCUGAUAGCACAGUGUCUGAAAAGACACAAGAUUCAUUUUUGAUCCUGCUCAAAUGUGUUUGCUGCUAAAAGUCCUGAAAGAUGACCUCUUUAUAAUAUAAUCUUACCUAAAGUGAGUCCUGCAUUAUGAACCCAGGAGACAGAAUUAGAGACUCUAGCUUUCUCUCUUUC
Pan troglodytes (chimpanzee) is the source of this 3337-nucleotide long non-coding RNA. RefSeq lists it as uncharacterized. The transcript has 3 exons. The record is from RefSeq and is a predicted model, not a curated record. NCBI's taxonomy places the organism in Eukaryota, Metazoa, Chordata, Mammalia, Primates, Hominidae.